UGCGGGGUGGUGUAAUCGGUAGUCACGUCGGGCUCUGGACCCGGAGAUCUAGGUUCGACCCCUAGCCCCGCAG
This 73-nucleotide transfer RNA is filed under the name Patescibacteria group bacterium. RNAcentral describes it as "tRNA-Gln". It matches the Rfam family "tRNA". Rfam says of the family: Transfer RNA (tRNA) molecules are approximately 80 nucleotides in length. Their secondary structure includes four short double-helical elements and three loops (D, anti-codon, and T loops). The record is from RNAcentral.